Molecule: ribosomal RNA, 497 nt
Filed under: uncultured bacterium
Lineage: Bacteria
Description: partial 16S ribosomal RNA
Rfam family: Bacterial small subunit ribosomal RNA
Source: RNAcentral
GAUGAACGCUGGCGGCGUGCCUAAUACAUGCAAGUCGAGCGAACGGACGAGAAGCUUGCUCCUCUGAUGUUAGCGGCGGACGGGUGAGUAACACGUGGAUAACCUACUUAUAAGACUGGGAUAACUUCGGGAAACCGGAGCUAAUACCGGAUAAUAUUUUGAACCGCAUGGUUCAAAAGUGAAAGACGGUCUUGCUGUCACUUAUAGAUGGAGCCGCGCUGCAUUAGCUAGUUGGUAAGGUAACGGCUUACCAAGGCAACGAUGCAUAGCCGACCUGAGAGGGUGAUCGGCCACACUGGAACUGAGACAAGGUCCAGACUCCUACGGGAGGCAGCAGUAGGGAAUCUUCCGCAAUGGGCGAAAGCCUGACGGAGCAACGCCGCGUGAGUGAUGAAGGUCUUCGGAUCGUAAAACUCUGUUAUUAGGGAAGAACAUAUGUGUAAGUAACUGUGCACAGCUUGACGGUACCUAAUCAGAAAGCCACGGCUAACUACGUG